CCUACGGGAGGCAGCAGUGAGGAAUAUUGGUCAAUGGGCGAGAGCCUGAACCAGCCAAGUCGCGUGAGGGAAGACGGUCCUAUGGAUUGUAAACCUCUUUUGUCGGGGAGCAAAAAGGCCUCGUGAGGCCACAAGUGAGAGUACCCGAAGAAAAAGCAUCGGCUAACUCCGUGCCAGCAGCCGCGGUAAUACGGAGGAUUCAAGCGUUAUCCGGAUUUAUUGGGUUUAAAGGGUGCGUAGGCGGUUCGAUAAGUUAGAGGUGAAAUCCCGGGGCUCAACUCCGGCACUGCCUCUGAUACUGUCGGGCUAGAGUUUAGUUGCGGUAGGCGGAAUGUAUGGUGUAGCGGUGAAAUGCAUAGAGAUCAUACAGAACACCGAUUGCGAAGGCAGCUUACCAAACUACGACUGACGUUGAGGCACGAAAGCGUGGGGAGCAAACAGGAUUAGAUACCCUAGUAGUC
Molecule: ribosomal RNA, 461 nt
Filed under: uncultured bacterium
Lineage: Bacteria
Description: partial 16S ribosomal RNA
Rfam family: Bacterial small subunit ribosomal RNA
Source: RNAcentral